UUUUGUCACUUCCUGUUCAGCCUGAAGGCGGCUGAAAACGGCUGGAAACUGUCCGACUUUACCGCAGCUUUUUGUCCCCGCCCCCAGCUGCUGCCACCUGCUCUCGUACACUUUACAGGCGAGGCGCAAUUCAUCUCAAACGAGCCUACUUUUUGACUUUAUGCCU
Long non-coding RNA from Etheostoma spectabile (orangethroat darter), 166 nucleotides. RefSeq lists it as uncharacterized. Lineage: Eukaryota; Metazoa; Chordata; Actinopteri; Perciformes; Percidae. The transcript is spliced from 3 exons. The record is from RefSeq and is a predicted model, not a curated record.